RNAcentral lists this long non-coding RNA (3850 nucleotides) under Homo sapiens (human). Its description in RNAcentral is "HSALNT0066537". The record is from RNAcentral. Lineage: Eukaryota; Metazoa; Chordata; Mammalia; Primates; Hominidae.
AUUCAGGAGAGGUAGAGAGAGGCUGCAGGCCAGGGUAGUGUGAGAUCCUAAAGGACUGAGAAUGUCCCACUGUGGCUCUCCCAUGCCCUUGUCCCGGGAAUUGUUCCUUAUGCUAAUAGAGUGUGGAUUGAUUUUCUUCCACAACAGCCAGGUAAGGGUGUGCAGGGUUUACACAGCACAAGGACACCUGGCCACGGGGCCAAAUGGGGAUGGAAUCCCAACCACCCUCCACGUCCUAAGCUAUAUGCUUGGAUGGGGUUACCCAGACAGCAAAAGGGGCACUGUUUUCUAAUACACACAAAGAUAAAGUGUGGGCUAGAGGCCUGCCCUAACAUUUGCAGAGCCUGGGGCAAGAAUGCAAAUUAAUCAAUCUAUUAUUUAAAAGUUAUAAAAUAAGCCUAAAACUAUUAACUAAAAUAUAUUUUAUCCUUCAGCCAAGACAAAUAGAUCUUUAUAAUAACAUGAAGCCCAUGUUCUAAUUUAGAAUUCUCAAAAGGGGAGCUUACCCCUAGCCCAUGCCCAACCCCCUUCCCUUCCCUUCCCCAGCAAUGUCCUUGCCCACAAGGACCAUUAUGCAUCCCCAUCUGGACACAGCAGGGCACCCAGCUCAGAAGCCCAGGUCCUCUUCCAAAUCCCUUGAAUGCAAAUAUCCUGUGUUGCCCCUGGACCUAGGGGUGCACACACUGGCUGUGUAUCCCUCGGUGGCCCCCGGGCUUAGGGGUGGGUGCACAUGCUGGUUAUAUAUCCCUUGGUGGUCCCUAGGCUUUGAGGUGCACGCACUGGCAGCAUAUCCUGGGCCUAGGGGUACACACGCUGGCUGUACAAUCCAUACUUGGGAGAACAAAUCUGAGGAAAGACCCAUGUAGGCCCCAGACCUGGCUAGUGGUGUUUUGACAGGGAAUUCCAGAUGCUCAGGGUAAGGACUAGACUGAGGAAUGCAGGCUCCUGGUAGCCGUAUGCCCUUGACUUGUUGGGCUCCUUGCCCAUGGGCAUGGGCAUGGUCCUAGAAAGUGCUGGACUCCUCUAGCACAGGCCUAGGCGUGAGAUUGCUGUACUGGUAGCAGCCGUAAGUGUUAAGUUCCACAGCUGGGUAGGUGGGGAGAAUGAGGUGGCAAGCGUGGGCCUUCAUCUAGCAAUCCCUUGUCUGCCCAAGGCCAGGUGAUGACAUUCAGUGGCUCAUGUCUGCUGCUCUGUCCAGCUCUUUGAUGUCAGGUGCCAUGUCAUUUUUGUACUCUUGGUAGCAACUAUUAAAGCACUAUCCUUCAAGGCAUAAGUGUUCAAGGGGCAGUUCUAAAAUGUGUCGUGAUACACAUCAUGAAAAUAACACUGGACUUGGAAUCAGGACGCGUGGGUUCUCUCUCUGCUCUGCCACAGCUCACUCAGCUUAGGCUUAUCAUGUUUCCUCCCCAGGCCUUAUAUUUUCCCGUCUAGAAAAUAAGGGUGUUGGUGGCCGGGCUGUGUGGCUCACGCCUGUAAUCUUUGGGAGACCGAGGCGGGUGGAUCACCUGAGGUCUGGAGUUCGAGACCAGCCUGACCAAGAUGGAGAAACUCCAUCUCUACUAAAAAUACAAAAUUAGCUGGGCGUGGUGGUGCAUGCCUGUAAUCCCAGCUACUUGGGAGGCUGAGGCAGGAGAAUCGCUUGAACCCAGGAGGCAGAGGUGUGGUGAGCCGAGAUAGUGCCAUUGCACUCCAGCCUGGGCAACAAGAGCAAACUCUGUCUCAGAAAAAAAAAAAAAAAAAAAAAAGAAAAAAGAAAAGAAAAGAAACGAAAAGAAAAGAAAAGGGUGUUGGGCCGACAGUUUCCAAAGUUCCAUUCGGAUCUGAAGGUCUGUGGUUUAUGACUCCUGCAAGCUAGUUUUCCUUAUCUGUCCAUCUUUCUCAACCCUAGGUACUCAGUACAAUGACCCAGGAAGUUUUACCAAAAAAUACCAGAGCCCAGGCCCUACCCCCAGAGAUUCUGCUUCAGUUCUUCUGAGGCGUGGCCCAAGCCAAAGCUCCCCAGUGACUCCGAAGUGCAGCCGCGGCUGAGAAGCACUGUUAGAGUUGGACGGCAGCUCUUGACUCCUCCCACUCCUCACCCACAUCCAGGGACAAUGGAGCCGGACAGAUGCCUGGCUGCAAAAGCAGAACAGCUGUAGAUGAGGAAACCAAGAAAAGAUAUGUUAACAUUUAAUCCAAGAUCACACAGCUGCGAAGAUUCAAAGUCAGGCAGCCUGGUGCCAAAACGUGAGCUCUUUAACACGUUGCUAUUCUGCCUGCUGUUGGUGAUUGAUCACAGGUGAAGGCCUGUUCCAAUAAAUGAGGUCUCUCAGCCCUGACAUUCUAACAGUGGUGUUGCUUGUAGAGACACACAUUUUAUACUUUGAGUUUUUUUUGUUGUUGUUGUUUAGAUCAGAGUUUAUCUUGGACAAUAUUGGCUGAGUUCAUAAGCCAAAGUCAGAAGCACCUGUCAUCAUCCUGUGGGGCUCUGCUUCUGGGUGGACUGUAGGAGAAGUCCUGAGAGGAGAAUGGUCUGGGCAGCAUUGCCAGAACUGGGCUACAAAACAAGAUUGUAAAACCACUGAACAAGAGAACCCCCGAUGGUGGUGCAGAAUGUGUGGGGCCUGCACCCUCCAGCUUGCAAAGGCUUCUGUUCCCUGGACACCUGAGGCCUUCGCCCAACAGUAGUGUUGGGUUGGGUUGAAAUAUCCACAUGCCGGCCGAGCGCAGUGGCUCAUGCCUGUAAUCCCAGCACUUUGGGAGGCCAAGGUGGGCGGAUCACGAGAUAAGGAUAUCGAGACCAUCCUGGCUAACAAGGUGAAACCCCGUCUGUAGUAAAAAUACAAAAAAUGAGCCGGGCGUGGUGGCAGGCACCUGUAGUCCCAGCUACUCGGGAGGCUGAGGCAGGAGAACGGCGUGAACCUGGGAGGUGGAGCUUGCAGUGAGCCGAGAUUGAGCCACUGCACUCCAGCCUGGGUGACAGAGUGAGACUCCAUCUCAAAAAAAAAAAAAACAAAAAAAAAAACAAAACGGAAAUAUCAACAUGCCAUUGCUUUCAGUGAUGGCACAGGUCCUGCCUUUCUAAGAUGGUGAGAGGCUCGGGGGCAGGGAGGGGCAGAAUACAGCUUGUAACCUGAUGUCCAUAAAGCUUUUUGGUCCUGGGGUGUUUUUUGCUGAGCAUACUGACCGAAUAUGUGCAUGACUGUAGGGAUGGGGCAUCUAUGAGACGGAAGUAACCAUGAGAACAGCUAUUAAACAAAUGAAAACAGGUCGGCCAUUCACUGCAGAGUUCAACUGAUGCCUUCCCGGAAAUCUCAUUUGAACCCCCAACUUGCUUUUAUGAGUUUAAUCCUCUUCAUCCCCUCUCCUUAGCCAAGUUUCAUUCCCAUUUGUUUAAUUACCAGUUGUAUGAACAAGUCCUUCCAUUUUCUCUUACUAGGUUUUACAUUUUCAUUCAUUGACACAUUAUAAAAAUUAAAGUUCUUUACUAGAGAGAGGUGAAUUCUGCUUCAGAAGAGUGAGUUUUUAUGGGGUGUCAAAAUUUAAUGUGGAUAAGAAUGCACCAUGGAAUCACCAGGGUGUCUGGUUAAAAUGCCGAUGUGGCUUCCAUCGGUCUGGGAGGUGGCCUAGGAUUUUACGUUUCCAAGAAGCUUCCAGGUGAUGACAAUGUUCCUGGUCCACAGACCACACGUCGAGGUGCAAGGUUGUAGAGAGCCUGUGAGACAAACCACAUUAACCUGAAGACUAGAGACCAAAUAGCCAUUCAAGCAAUGCAUCUACACUCUAAACAGCCCUAUGGGCAGGUAAGUACUGCAGCCUCAUCCCCGUGGGGAGCCUGGACCAGCCUCACUCGGCUUCUCUUUCAAAUGAG